RNAcentral lists this ribosomal RNA (393 nucleotides) under uncultured bacterium. Its description in RNAcentral is "bacterial SSU rRNA". It matches the Rfam family "Bacterial small subunit ribosomal RNA", at positions 30 to 425 of the family's 1533-position model. The record is from RNAcentral.
AUUGAACGCUGGCGGCAUGCCUUACACAUGCAAGUCGAACGGCAGCGGACCUUCGGGUGCCGGCGAGUGGCGAACGGGUGAGUAAUGCAUCGGAACGUGCCAUUGAGUGGGGGGAUAACGUAGCGAAAGUUACGCUAAUACCGCAUAUUCUGUGAGCAGGAAAGCAGGGGGACCGCAAGGCCUUGCGCUCUUUGAGCGGCCGAUGUCAGAUUAGCUAGUUGGUGAGGUAAAGGCUUACCAAGGCGACGAUCUGUAGCGGGUCUGAGAGGAUGAUCCGCCACACUGGAACUGAGACACGGUCCAGACUCCUACGGGAGGCAGCAGUGGGGAAUUUUGGACAAUGGGCGCAAGCCUGAUCCAGCCAUGCCGCGUGAGUGAAGAAGGCCUCGGUUG